This 442-nucleotide ribosomal RNA is filed under the name uncultured bacterium. RNAcentral's name for it is "partial 16S ribosomal RNA". It matches the Rfam family "Bacterial small subunit ribosomal RNA", at positions 338 to 795 of the family's 1533-position model. The record is from RNAcentral.
CCUACGGGAGGCAGCAGUGGGGAAUAUUGGGCAAUGGGCGCAAGCCUGACCCAGCAACGCCGCGUGAAGGAAGAAGGCUUUCGGGUUGUAAACUUCUUUUAAGAGGGAAGAGCAGAAGACGGUACCUCUUGAAUAAGCCACGGCUAACUACGUGCCAGCAGCCGCGGUAAUACGUAGGUGGCAAGCGUUGUCCGGAUUUACUGGGUGUAAAGGGCGUGCAGCCGGGAAGACAAGUCAGAUGUGAAAGCCCGCGGCUCAACCGGGGAACUGCAUUUGAAACUGUUUUUCUUGAGUACCGGAGAGGUCAUCGGAAUUCCUUGUGUAGCGGUGAAAUGCGUAGAUAUAAGGAAGAACACCAGUGGCGAAGGCGGAUGACUGGACGGCAACUGACGGUGAGGCGCGAAAGCGUGGGGAGCAAACAGGAUUAGAUACCCUUGUAGUC